Molecule: ribosomal RNA, 2134 nt
Filed under: Yersinia ruckeri
Lineage: Bacteria; Pseudomonadati; Pseudomonadota; Gammaproteobacteria; Enterobacterales; Yersiniaceae
Description: partial 23S ribosomal RNA
Rfam family: Bacterial large subunit ribosomal RNA
Source: RNAcentral
GGUUAAGCGACUAAGCGUACACGGUGGAUGCCUAGGCAGUCAGAGGCGAUGAAGGGCGUGCUAAUCUGCGAAAAGCGUCGGUAAGCUGAUAUGAAGCGUAAUAACCGACGAUACCCGAAUGGGGAAACCCAGUGCAAUUCGUUGCACUAUUGCAUGGUGAAUACAUAGCCAUGCAAGGCGAACCGGGGGAACUGAAACAUCUAAGUACCCCGAGGAAAAGAAAUCAACCGAGAUUCCCCCAGUAGCGGCGAGCGAACGGGGAAGAGCCCAGAGUCUGAAUCAGUUUGUGUGUUAGUGGAAGCGUCUGGAAAGUCGCACGGUACAGGGUGAUAGUCCCGUACACAAAAACACACUGGCUGUGAACUCGAUGAGUAGGGCGGGACACGUGACAUCCUGUCUGAAUAUGGGGGGACCAUCCUCCAAGGCUAAAUACUCCUGACUGACCGAUAGUGAACCAGUACCGUGAGGGAAAGGCGAAAAGAACCCCGGCGAGGGGAGUGAAAUAGAACCUGAAACCGUGUACGUACAAGCAGUGGGAGCACCUUCGUGGUGUGACUGCGUACCUUUUGUAUAAUGGGUCAGCGACUUAUAUUUUGUAGCAAGGUUAACCGAAUAGGGGAGCCGUAGGGAAACCGAGUCUUAACUGGGCGUCUAGUUGCAAGGUAUAGACCCGAAACCCGGUGAUCUAGCCAUGGGCAGGUUGAAGGUUGGGUAACACUAACUGGAGGACCGAACCGACUAAUGUUGAAAAAUUAGCGGAUGACUUGUGGCUGGGGGUGAAAGGCCAAUCAAACCGGGAGAUAGCUGGUUCUCCCCGAAAGCUAUUUAGGUAGCGCCUCGUGAACUCAUCUUCGGGGGUAGAGCACUGUUUCGGCUAGGGGUCCAUCCCGGAUUACCAAACCGAUGCAAACUCCGAAUACCGAAGAAUGUUAUCACGGGAGACACACGGCGGGUGCUAACGUCCGUCGUGAAGAGGGAAACAACCCAGACCGCCAGCUAAGGUCCCAAAGUCAUGGUUAAGUGGGAAACGAUGUGGGAAGGCAUAGACAGCCAGGAUGUUGGCUUAGAAGCAGCCAUCAUUUAAAGAAAGCGUAAUAGCUCACUGGUCGAGUCGGCCUGCGCGGAAGAUGUAACGGGGCUAAACCAUGCACCGAAGCUGCGGCAGCGACGCUUAGGCGUUGUUGGGUAGGGGAGCGUUCUGUAAGCCGUUGAAGGUGGCCUGUGAGGGCUGCUGGAGGUAUCAGAAGUGCGAAUGCUGACAUAAGUAACGAUAAUGCGGGUGAAAAACCCGCACGCCGGAAGACCAAGGGUUCCUGUCCAACGUUAAUCGGGGCAGGGUGAGUCGACCCCUAAGGCGAGGCUGAAAAGCGUAGUCGAUGGGAAACAGGUUAAUAUUCCUGUACUGGGUGUGACUGCGAAGGGGGGACGGAGAAGGCUAGGCUAGCCGGGCGACGGUUGUCCCGGUUUAAGCAUGUAGGCGGAGCGACUUGGUAAAUCCGGUUGCUUAUCAACGCUGAGGUGUGAUGACGAGCCACUACGGUGGUGAAGUAGUUGAUGCCAAGCUUCCAGGAAAAGCCUCUAAGCAUCAGGUGACAUUCAAUCGUACCCCAAACCGACACAGGUGGUCAGGUAGAGAAUACUCAGGCGCUUGAGAGAACUCGGGUGAAGGAACUAGGCAAAAUGGUGCCGUAACUUCGGGAGAAGGCACGCUGGCAUUAGGUAAAGAGACUUGCUCUCGGCGCCGAAGCCAGUCGCAGAUACCAGCUGGCUGCAACUGUUUAAUAAAAACACAGCACUGUGCAAACACGAAAGUGGACGUAUACGGUGUGACGCCUGCCCGGUGCUGGAAGGUUAAUUGAUGGGGUCAGCCGCAAGGCGAAGCUCUUGAUCGAAGCCCCAGUAAACGGCGGCCGUAACUAUAACGGUCCUAAGGUAGCGAAAUUCCUUGUCGGGUAAGUUCCGACCUGCACGAAUGGCGUAAUGAUGGCCAGGCUGUCUCCACCCGAGACUCAGUGAAAUUGAACUCGCUGUGAAGAUGCAGUGUACCCGCGGCAAGACGGAAAGACCCCGUGAACCUUUACUAUAGCUUGACACUGAAUAUUGAGCCUUGAUGUGUAGGAUAGGUGGGAGGCAU